Molecule: ribosomal RNA, 252 nt
Filed under: uncultured bacterium
Lineage: Bacteria
Description: partial 16S ribosomal RNA
Rfam family: Bacterial small subunit ribosomal RNA
Source: RNAcentral
UACGGAGGAUGCGAGCGUUAUCCGGAUUUAUUGGGUUUAAAGGGUGCGCAGGCGGAUUUUUAAGUCAGCGGUCAAAUCGUGGGGCUCAACCCCAUCCAGCCGUUGAAACUGGGGAUCUGGAGUGUGCGAGAGGUAUGCGGAAUGUGUGGUGUAGCGGUGAAAUGCAUAGAUAUCGCGCAGAACCCCGAUUGCGAAGGCAGCAUACCGGUGCACAACUGACGCUCAGGCACGAAAGCGUGGGUAUCGAACAGG